Helianthus annuus (common sunflower) is the source of this 2304-nucleotide long non-coding RNA. RefSeq lists it as uncharacterized. The transcript is spliced from 4 exons. The record is from RefSeq and is a predicted model, not a curated record. Lineage: Eukaryota; Viridiplantae; Streptophyta; Magnoliopsida; Asterales; Asteraceae.
UUGUCCUCUCCUCUUUUCCCUGCAAUGAAAGCAACCCAUAACGAAUAUGACCAAAAAAAUCAAAUCGUCCCUAUUUGAUCUCCUUCUUUUAAUAGAGUUCUCCCCUCAGUUCAUCUCAUUCUCUCAAUCUCCCUCGUGGCCUCUCUGUUUCACAUUUUUUUUGGCACUGGCCACCCAAAGGCCAAAACCAAUUCCAACAGCCGUUUUUUAUGUUCGGAUUUGUUCCAUUUUCGUGACUCAGGUAACCAAAAAUCAAUCUCGUUUUGCGUUCAUAUGUGUAAUAUGUUCAUUUACUGUGAUUAGAAUAUUUAGUUUGAAUUGUUUCGAAAAAAUUGGCAAUGUUAUUUUCAAUGUAAUGAUGAAGACAAUCAAGAAUCGGACCCUAAAAAAUCUAGCUAUCAUUAAUAUUUUCACUGUAUUACACUUUUAUUUGGCUGAUCCAGUUGCCGCUCAUUUCUAGGAGUGCAAUAUUCUGUUCGUGCGUAUGUUUAUUCUCACAUAUGUGAAUCUGUUAUAGUGGAAAUCAAAAACAUAUUGCGGAAGUAAACUUGUAACAUAUGACUUUUGAUAUUUAUAUACUUCACGAGCUUUCAAUUUCAACAUCAUGACGUUUCUCUAAGCUUUAGUUCAGUGGAAGACAUUCAGACUCCCCCUCUGGUAUGAGUAUUAUACCUAUUUUUUGGUUACUUUCAUAAUUAAUAUUAACAUUAUCAGAACAGUAUUUUUAUAUACUAUAUGUAGAAAGGUUUAAAAACUUUUAUUUAAUAUUUUGUUAUAUAUGGUGCAAAAAUUACAUACUUCAAUGUGACUGCAUAGUACAUAGACGAUACUAUUUUUUAUUUUUUUAUUUUUCUAUUUUUUUCAAAUGGUAAUUCAAACAUCUUUAAACCGACACGACUAAUCUCUAAACAUCAUAUUUAUAAUCGAGAAACCACUAAGAUACUAUGUCGUUCAGAUUUGUUCGUUGAUCUUUGGUAAGUACAAUUUUGUGCGUAGAAGCUCAUAUAUCGUCUCCUUUUGUUCUGAUGAAAAAUUUUAAACUAAAAAUACAAGUUUCAAAUUGGUAACUUUGAAGAAUAUAAUUAACAUAAAAGAACUAAGUUUCGUAAUCUCCUUUUAGGAAUAUAAAAAUGGACUUUUCCUAUCCCACCCCAAACCAUGUUAGUUUCUUCGUAUUCAAAGGCCACCGGUUCUCACUAUUUUCCCACCUGAUUUUGCUCAUAUUUCUUCAUAGAUUUUUGGUAACUUCAUAUAUGUUUUUAGCAUUCAUAUCCCAUUCCUCUCGUUACCUACAAAACUCCAACACUUGAGUUGUGAGGGCCCUUAUUCCUUAGGAGCACUACGACUCAAAUUCUUGUUCUUGUUACCGAACUUAUUAAUUCUUUAAUCAAGUUCGAAUCCGCUUAGUUGAGAAAGUAAACAAGAAGGGGAGUCAAAGGGUAGUUUCACUCGUUACUUCAUAUUGUUGCUUGUAGGAUCCACCUAGCUUAUACUAAAACAAGAUUCUUCCUGAUGGUUUUCUCAAACGUUGGUAAAACAUGGUUAUCAAGUUCUUUAUGUAUAUGGUAGUUGGUGAUUACGUUCUUGAUGUAAAGGUCAAUUGGCCCUUGAUGUAAACGUUGGUAAACCAUGGAAGAAGAAUCCUUGAUGUAAAGCUAUCGGGUGUUCAUUGGUGGUACAACCAUAAUAAAAAAGUCACGCCGUUGAGCUAACUGUUGUUAUUCAACUCAAUGAAGCAUGACGGCUAUGGCCCACCUCUUGAAAAAUCAAAUAAGAAUGGAGUUGCAUCAAAAGUUGCAUUGGACAGAUCCUAGACGGAUAAUGGAAAACAAUCAUCUAAAAAUCCUGAUAUCUUGAAGGACGAAGUGAUGUAAGCGACGCUUGAUUAUAGUGAGAAGGUAUACAUUUCAACUUGGAAUGUCCCUCCUUCAAGGACGACAAAGUGGAUGCAAGUGUAAUGGAUGAGGCCCUUAGUGACGUGCAUAAAACUUCUUAUAAUACCUAUACAUAUCAAUAUAUCACGGAUUCAAUCAACUAAUCAAGCUACCACAAAAAUUUUCAACGUUUUUCAAGAAAAUGAAUGGAGAUGAGCCCAUUGAUGGUAUCUCCAAGACUAACGAUCGAUAGUUCUAGGAUCGUGUUACAUGUUACGGUAUACUAGUUUUAGGGGUUGAAUUGUACUUUUUUGUGAUAGUUAGAGGGUCCAAUGUGAAGAUGUAAUAGUUAGUUGUUAAGCAUAGCUUUCCUUAAACAAUAUAAAAGACUAAUAACAACAUUGAUCAUUUGGACUAUGCUCCUUCUUUA